This 577-nucleotide ribosomal RNA is filed under the name Salmonella enterica. RNAcentral describes it as "partial 23S ribosomal RNA". It matches the Rfam family "Bacterial large subunit ribosomal RNA", at positions 711 to 1284 of the family's 2925-position model. Lineage: Bacteria; Pseudomonadati; Pseudomonadota; Gammaproteobacteria; Enterobacterales; Enterobacteriaceae. The record is from RNAcentral.
AGACCCGAAACCCGGUGAUCUAGCCAUGGGCAGGUUGAAGGUUGGGUAACACUAACUGGAGGACCGAACCGACUAAUGUUGAAAAAUUAGCGGAUGACCUGUGGCUGGGGGUGAAAGGCCAAUCAAACCGGGAGAUAGCUGGUUCUCCCCGAAAGCUAUUUAGGUAGCGCCUCGUGAAUUCAUCUCCGGGGGUAGAGCACUGUUUCGGCUAGGGGGCCAUCCCGGCUUACCAACCCGAUGCAAACUGCGAAUACCGGAGAAUGUUAUCACGGGAGACACACGGCGGGUGCUAACGUCCGUCGUGAAGAGGGAAACAACCCAGACCGCCAGCUAAGGUCCCAAAGUCAUGGUUAAGUGGGAAACGAUGUGGGAAGGCCCAGACAGCCAGGAUGUUGGCUUAGAAGCAGCCAUCAUUUAAAGAAAGCGUAAUAGCUCACUGGUCGAGUCGGCCUGCGCGGAAGAUGUAACGGGGCUAAACCAUGCACCGAAGCUGCGGCAGCGACGCUUAUGCGUUGUUGGGUAGGGGAGCGUUCUGUAAGCCUGUGAAGGUGGCCUGUGAGGGUUGCUGGAGGUAUCA